GAUGAACGCUGGCGGCGUGCUUAACACAUGCAAGUCGAACGGGAAACAUUUUAUUGAAGCUUCGGCAGAUUUAGCUUGUUUCUAGUGGCGGACGGGUGAGUAACGCGUGGGUAACCUGCCUCAUACUGGGGGAUAACAGUUAGAAAUGGCUGCUAAUACCGCAUAAGCGCACGGAGCCGCAUGGCUCAGUGUGAAAAACUCCGGUGGUAUAAGAUGGACCCGCGUUGGAUUAGCUAGUUGGCAGGGCAGCGGCCUACCAAGGCGACGAUCCAUAGCCGGCCUGAGAGGGUGAACGGCAACAUUGGGACUGAGACACGGCCCAGACUCCUACGGGAGGCAGCAGUGGGGAAUAUUGCACAAUGGGGGAAACCCUGAUGCAGCGACGCCGCGUGAAGGAAGAAGUAUCUCGGUAUGUAAACUUCUAUCAGCAGGGAAGAUAAUGACGGUACCUGACUAAGAAGCCCCGGCUAACUACGUGCCAGCAGCCGCAGUAA
RNAcentral lists this ribosomal RNA (494 nucleotides) under uncultured bacterium. RNAcentral describes it as "partial 16S ribosomal RNA". It matches the Rfam family "Bacterial small subunit ribosomal RNA", at positions 28 to 523 of the family's 1533-position model. The record is from RNAcentral.